Esox lucius (northern pike) is the source of this 2450-nucleotide long non-coding RNA. Lineage: Eukaryota; Metazoa; Chordata; Actinopteri; Esociformes; Esocidae. The record is from Ensembl.
GUUGACAAGUGAAAGCUGAAUAUGACUACUGGGUUGACUAGUGAAAGCUGAAUAUGACUACGGGGUUGACUAGUGAAAGCUGAAUAUGACUACUGGGUUGACUAGUGAAAGCUGAAUAUGACUACGGGGUUGACUAGUGAAAGCUGAAUAUGACUACGGGGUUGACAAGUGAAAGCUGAAUAUGGCCAAGGUAAAGGCCUCCCCAGGGUAAACACUCCUCAAAGGAUGUGCGACCAAGUACUAAUCAUUACUUAUUUAUUGUAUGUAACUUUAAUAUGCCCAAAUACUUCUGGCACCCUAAAAUGUGGGAACUAUGUAAAAAAACACACUGUGAUUUCAAAAUUAUUAAUACGAUAAAAAAAACUGAAAUUUAAGCGGCCACGUUCAAUGACCCCAUAGUAAUUUAUUAUUUCAAAAAAGCUGGAAUACAGAAGAAAACAAAUAGGUCAUUUCCAAAUACUUUUAGAGAUUAGUGUGCAUACAUUAGUGACAGUAGUCAGAGUAGUUAGCAUGGUUCGAUCUAGAUUGAGCAAAGUAAUUACAGGUGUAUCCCACAGCAAUCUUAAUAGAACAAGGCCUUCCUCCAUUUUAGUGAUUAACAAAAAAGACUGUAAUGCCUCGCAUCUCAGAAUUGGACUCCUUAAUGUUAGCUCUCGUGGUUCAGAGGCAAUUGCAGGUAAUUAAUUAAUCACUGAUCAUAAGCUGGAUAUAACUGGCCUGUUGUGAAACCGGGCUAAAGCCUGAUGCUUACUGUCCUAAAUGAGGCUACAUUGAUCAUAUCCAGGGGUGUAAAAAGUACAAAGUAGAAAUACUCGGCUGUGUUCACCAGUUUUGGGAAGUUCCUAAAGAAGGGUUAAAUGACCAUGUAAACAGAGUUCAUAACUCAUCAGUGUCCUUAAUUGAUAAUUUACACUCUUCCUUUUUAUUUAAUUGAUCACUAGUUAGUUUUGAACUCCCUUUACCUGGUUAUUUAGAUCUUAAUUAGAUACUUCCCAAAAGUGGUGAACACAGCCGAACCCAGUACUUUUACUUUGUACUUUUUACACCUCUGAUCAUAUCCCUGUGAAUCCCAUAAAGGGGGAGGUGUUGCUAAUAUGUAUAACAAAAAUCAAGUUCUUAUUUGUCAUUACUCCAUUUGUAAUAAUUGUUGCACCAACAGCCAGUACAAAUUCCUAGUUUGAUGUGGAACUUUCUUGGCAAUGAAACUCUUUCUGAAUCUGAUUUACAGUGAAACACAUGACAGGGUUUCUGUCUUUUAAGGUUUUAGUCAUGAAAGCUAUGCAGGCCACUCAAUAAUUGUUCAGAGCAACUGUUUACAGCCCCCCUGGGACGUAUUCAGUGUUCCUCAAUAAGUUCCCAGAAUUCUUAUCAAACCUUAAGGUCACAACAGAAAAUAUUCUAAUUGGCCAUUUCAAUAUUCACUUGGAAAAGUCCCAUAAUUGACUCAGUGGGUUACAUCUUGGGAUAUACACCUUAGUCUUAUUCCAUGGAAUACAUAUUGUGGAUCUGAUGUGGAAGUGUUUUCCCUCAUAAUCCAGGUGAAUAAAAAUAAUCCAACAUUUGUAUUUGUGGCAGUUAACCAAAAUGCAACACGCAACAAGUGAUGAAAACCUGAACUUCUUUGAUAAAAAGAUCAUCAUCACUAGAAAACAAGUAACAGACUCCUUGUGAAUUAAGUCCUCAAAAACUCAGUCCAGAGCUACCCUGACCUGGAACUAAUGGGGACAAUUGGACUUUUGAAUUCCAUAUAGCUUGAUAUGUUCACUAAAAUAUAAAUGAGCUCUAAACCCACCAGAUGUUAACUAAACUACUUAAGGAGCUGGUGCUUGGUCUGCCUGUUUUGAACAUUCUAAAUAUAAAUGUGUAUCUAACUCAAUAAAAGAGGCAGAAAUUGCUAACCUGCAAAGAAUUACAUGGACUUCCUCCUAUAUAGCUCUCUGAAUUGGUCCAACCAUACAUAUCUAAACAUAGGCUAAGAUGGAGGCCUCCUUAUUGUAACUAGGAAUUUCUAAACAAACAGCUGUAGGAAAAUGUGGGUGGAGUUACUUCCUGCCUGGCUGGCCCUGUCCAGGAUUCCUUCAGACAGGGCCAGAGUGUCUCUGGACCCCCCUGUCUCAACCUCUAGUUUUAGGCUGCUUUAUUAUUGUGCCGGGGGACUAGGGACAGCCUGUGUUUUCUUAAGUCCCAAAUGUUUAAGUUGCAUUAGUUUAUGUGAUCGGGACAAGGGUCAGUCUGAAAAGUGCUCAGGUAUGGUUUUGAAUCCAUGGAAUUCUCAGGUAUGGUUUUGAAUCCAUGGAAUGCUCAGGUAUGGUUUUGAAUCCAUGGAAUGCUCAGGUAUGGUUUUGAAUCCAUGGAAUGCUCAGGUAUGGUUUUGAAUCCAUGGAAUGCUCAGGUAUGGUUUUGAAUCCAUGGAAUGCUCAGGUAUGGUUUUGAAUCCAUGGAAUGCUCAG